GCUUGCGCGGCUGUGUAGGGGGUUGUGGCGGGCCGGAGAGUCCCCGAGUGACUUAACAUUCUCUAAAAAUACCCCAUUUUUGAACUUCGACGACCUGGGUUGGCCUGCUCACUCUGUGUCCCUGCGCUCCUCUGCUUCUCUGCUCCUUCGGUCUUGUGUGCUGGGGACACGUGGGCCUUUCCAGUUCCCUGCAGCCACCUUUGGUCUGUAGGAAGGCAGUGGCGCAGGGAGCGGUGGGAGCCCGGGUCUGCAGGGCUCAAGGUGGCGACGGCGAAGCGGUCUGCCCCACCCGCCACCCCCACCCGCAGGAUGCGCAUCGCCAGUGCAGCCCGGGUCGUGGCCCCCCAACAGACCCAGUCCCGCCGCGACACGGCAGCAGCACCUCUUCGCCGCGACACGGCAGCAGCACCUCUUCGGCCCUUUGAGCUCUUCCCUCCUUAUUUCUCAGUCUCAUGCUACACUGCGAUUCUUUUAUUUAUUUGCUAUUUUAGGCAGUAUCCGCCGGCUCUCUACCAUGGACACUCAGUGAGGAUUUGGUUCUCUUAGGUAUGAACCCUGUGCUUCACCUCCUGUGAGCUCCAAGACUCAUUUCAUCAGUUUUGGGAUGCAUCAGUAUUUGGUGUUUACAGUAUUAUGGUUAUGUAAAUAUUGUUCCCAGCUGAGCUGUGCAGUACAUUGUGACAACAUUUUCCAUUUUGUGUUGUUUGUUUUCCUGGGAAUUCAUAAUAGCCUGUUUUCUUCUUGCAUCAAGCUGGACACUCAGUGGAUCCUUUCAAAUCUGGAGACAUGACCUUCGGUUCUGGGAAGCUGGAAGGCACAAGUGCUGUUUUUACAAGCUCUGAACUCAUCUUGUUUCUGUCCCCACCUGCCCCCCCACUUCCAGAGGGACCUUGUGACUCCCAGGCUAUGUAUCUGGGGGGCCUCUGGCCUUGAAUGGUUCCCUCGACAUGCAGAAUUUGGUUGCAGCUUCCUCCACUCUGCCUAGGUGAUUACUAUUAAUUUUCCAGCUUCGAAAAUUCUGUAGGCUGGAUGCGGUGGCUCGCUUCUGUAAUCCCAGCACUUUGGGAGGCUGAAUCAGGAAGAUCGCUUGAGUCCAGGAAUUCAAGACCAGCCUGGGCAACGUGGCAAGACCCUGUCUCUACAGAAGAAUUUAAAAUUAGUGGGGUGUGGUGGCGCACGCCUGUGGGCCCAGCUACUCUGGAGCUUGAAGCGGGAGGAUCACUUGAGUCCAGGAGGUUGAGGCUGCAGUGAGCAAAGAUUACGCCACUGCAAUCCAGCCUGGGUGCCAGAGAGAGACCCUGUCUCCAAAGGAAAAGUUCUGUAGACUUUUUGUCCUUGCCAUUGACUUUCUUUGUCAUUGACUUUCUUUAUAAGUUUGCGACUUAAACAUUUUUCCUUAUAUUGUCAUCUUAGUGGGGUUUGGAGAGGGAAAAGAGAAAAAUAUCCCUGUUAGUUCCAUGUUAGCUAGAAGUCCCUCUCACUCUGAGCAUCUACUAUGUGCCACAGCCUAUUUUAAGCCAGCCCUUA
This is a long non-coding RNA of Homo sapiens (human), 1527 nucleotides long. Lineage: Eukaryota; Metazoa; Chordata; Mammalia; Primates; Hominidae. The record is from Ensembl.